Molecule: transfer RNA, 69 nt
Filed under: Ovis aries (sheep)
Lineage: Eukaryota; Metazoa; Chordata; Mammalia; Artiodactyla; Bovidae
Rfam family: tRNA
About the family: Transfer RNA (tRNA) molecules are approximately 80 nucleotides in length.
Source: Rfam by way of RNAcentral
CCUGGUGGCUUAGAUGGUAAAGUGUCCGUCUGCAAUGCAGAAGACCUGGGUUCAAUCUCUGCGUCAGGA